UUGGCGAAGUCUAGUUCUGCCGUGUGUCAAAAUGGCAUGUCCGUUUAUUAACGAUCCAGUAGAUGAAGGAGCAGCAUUACUGCACACAGAAUUAAAUAUUCGUCGGGAGAUUGUUUUCAGACCGCGCAUAGAUGUUUUGGCGUUUCCGGACAGUUAUCUUUUUGAACGGUACCGUUUCACAUCACAAUCCAUAACCGACAUCCACAACCUAAUCCGUCCUUACAUUCACAACUUUACCAACCGCAGUCAUGCUCUAACGUCCCAUCAGAUGUUGUGUGUUGCGCUGCGGUUCUUUGCAAAUGGGAGUUUUUUAUACAACGUCGGAGAUGCAGAGCACCUCAGUAAGACAACUGUAUGCAGAGCGGUCAGAAAAGUGUGUCUGGCCCUGAAACGACUUUUACCGAUCUUUGUCGUUUUCCCUGGACAUAAACCUGUCAGAGCCAUCAAGGAGGAGUUCCACAGGAUUGCAGGAUUUCCCAGUGUGAUUGGCUGCAUUGAUGGCACACACAUCCCCAUCACAGCUCACAGCUCCCUCACAUAAUGAAGCUGAUUAUGUGAAUAGGAAGUCCAUUCACAGCAUAAAUGUGCAGGUAGGUUAGAGGUAGAUUGACUACGGUUUCAAAAUGUUAAAGACUGCAUCAUAGUUCAACAUCAGUCAUUCUCUGCACUGUCAAGAUCAUAUGUGAUGCUGCAUACAUUAUUUCCAAUGUGGAGGCCAAGUGGCCUGGGUCUGUUCAUGACUCGAGGAUUUUUCGAGAGUCUAACCUGAGCAACAGACUGCAACGUGGUAGGCAUCCUAAAGAUUUUCACAACUUAAUUCACUUGUCUCCCUCCUUUAAUAUACUCCAAUGUAUCCACUAUACAUUACAGGAGAGUUUGAUGGCCUUCUGCUGGGUGACAGGGGUUACCAUGCCAACCUAGUCUGAUGACCCCAUACCCUGACCCUGAACCAGACCCCCAACAGAACUUCAACCGGGCUCACUGCAAGACGAGAGCCCUGGUGGAGGUGACCAUAGACCUGCUGAAAGCCUGUUUCCAGUGCUUACGUCACCUCAGGGUGACCCCUGAGAGGGCCUGUGAUAUUAUUGUGGCAUGUGUUGUUCUUCAUAAUAUUGCCACUAUUAGAGGAGAGCAACACCCUGCCGUACAAUUUGAAGACCCAGAUGAUGACCUCAUCCACCUGCCAGCUAUCCAGGAUGGCAGAGCAGUCAGAGACACUAUAUGCAAGAAUCACUUCAGAGUUUAAGUCUCCAUCAUCACCACCACAGCAGUCAAAUAAACACAUGAUACACAUUU
Amphiprion ocellaris (clown anemonefish) is the source of this 1296-nucleotide long non-coding RNA. RefSeq lists it as uncharacterized. The record is from RefSeq and is a predicted model, not a curated record. Lineage: Eukaryota; Metazoa; Chordata; Actinopteri; Pomacentridae. The transcript has 2 exons.